Molecule: small nucleolar RNA, 89 nt
Filed under: Morus notabilis
Lineage: Eukaryota; Viridiplantae; Streptophyta; Magnoliopsida; Rosales; Moraceae
Source: RNAcentral
GAAGAUGAUGAACAUGCACUGGGCUCUGAGCAGUAUUAUGUACUGCUUAAUUUGAUGCACAUUGCAGCCUAGAAAGCUUUGUCUGAUUU